GAGGGGCAUCAGGAAGAAAGCUUGCUUUCUUUGCUGGCGACCGGCGCACGGGUGAGUAACACGUAUCCAACCUGCCCUUUACUCGGGGAUAGCCUUUCGAAAGAAAGAUUAAUACCCGAUGGGAUAAUCAUUCCGCAUGGUUUGAUUAUUAAAGGAUUCCGGUAAAGGAUGGGGAUGCGUUCCAUUAGGUUGUUGGUGAGGUAACGGCCCACCAAGCCUUCGAUGGAUAGGGGUUCUGAGAGGAAGGUCCCCCACAUUGGAACUGAGACACGGUCCAAACUCCUACGGGAGGCAGCAGUGAGGAAUAUUGGUCAAUGGGCGCGAGCCUGAACCAGCCAAGUAGCGUGAAGGAUGACUGCCCUAUGGGUUGUAAACUUCUUUUAUAUUAGAAUAAAGUGCAGUAUGUAUACUGUUUUGUAUGUACAAUAUGAAUAAGGAUCGGCUAACUCCGUGCCAGCAGCCGCGGUAAUACGGAGGAUCCGAGCGUUAUCCGGAUUUAUUGGGUUUAAAGGGAGCGUAGGUGGACUGGUAAGUCAGUUGUGAAAGUUUGCGGCUCAACCGUAAAAUUGCAGUUGAUACUGUCAGUCUUGAGUACAGUAGAGGUGGGCGGAAUUCGUGGUGUAGCGGUGAAAUGCUUAGAUAUCACGAAGACUCCGAUUGCGAAGGCAGCUCACUGGACUGCAACUGACACUGAUGCUCGAA
This 702-nucleotide ribosomal RNA is filed under the name uncultured Bacteroidales bacterium. Its description in RNAcentral is "bacterial SSU rRNA". It matches the Rfam family "Bacterial small subunit ribosomal RNA", at positions 64 to 757 of the family's 1533-position model. The record is from RNAcentral. Lineage: Bacteria; Pseudomonadati; Bacteroidota; Bacteroidia; Bacteroidales.